This 253-nucleotide ribosomal RNA is filed under the name uncultured bacterium. Its description in RNAcentral is "partial 16S ribosomal RNA". It matches the Rfam family "Bacterial small subunit ribosomal RNA", at positions 524 to 776 of the family's 1533-position model. The record is from RNAcentral.
UACAGAGGGCUCAAGCGUUGUUCGGAUUCAUUGGGCGUAAAGGGUGCGUAGGCGGCGCGGUAAGUCGGGGGUGAAAUCUCGGGGCUUAACUCCGAAACUGCAUUCGAUACUGCCGUGCUUGAGGACUGGAGAGGAGACUGGAAUUUACGGUGUAGCGGUGAAAUGCGUAGAUAUCGUAAGGAAGACCAGUGGCGAAGGCGGGUCUCUGGACAGUUCCUGACGCUGAGGCACGAAGGCCAGGGGAGCAAACGGG